UCUGCUAUCCCGGUUUACUAUAUGGCCAAUAUUUUAUUUUCAAAAAAAAUCAUUGCAAAACUCACUGCUAUUAUUAGGAAUUUUUGGUGGAUAGGGGUUCGAGAAACAGAUUCGAGGAAGAUUCUUUGUCUCAGAGCUUGGAAGGAUAUUACCAAUUCCAAGGCAGAAGGUGGAUUAGGCAUCAGAAACUUAAAAGCGAUAAAUGAAAGUCUUAUUGUUGCUGCAGCAUGGAGGUUAGCAAAAGAUCCUUCUUCCCAUUUAUAUUGUGUUGUUCAAUCAAAGUAUUUCCCUGCUACAACUAUUUGGAAGGCCUCUUUUGCCCCUCCUAAAUUUGCUUUUUGGGCUGCUGUCUUAAAAAUGCUUCCUAAACUCAAAGAGCAUGCUUUUUAUCAACUCACUCAAGGAAAUAUUUCUUUAUGGAGCAACCAUUGGUGUAUUAUUUGGAAUUCUAUUCAUGAUUUCCUUAUUCCUCAACAAGCAGGCUUUGUUUAUCCUUCCUUGGUCAGAGACCUUUGGCUGCCUGGCCAAAGAAUUUGGAACCAU
RNAcentral lists this ribosomal RNA (543 nucleotides) under Triticum aestivum (bread wheat). Its description in RNAcentral is "partial small subunit ribosomal RNA". Lineage: Eukaryota; Viridiplantae; Streptophyta; Magnoliopsida; Poales; Poaceae. The record is from RNAcentral.